GGCGGACGGGUGAGUAACACGUGAGAAUUUGCCUUUAGGAGGGGGACAACAAUUGGAAACGAAUGCUAAUACCCCAUAUGCUUUCACGAGUAAAAUGGAUUUUAUUAUCUGCCUAAAGAGAAGCUCGCGGCUGAUUAGCUUGUUGGUAAGGUAAAAGCUUACCAAGGCGACGAUCAGUAUCUGGUUUGAGAGGACGAUCAGACACACUGGAACUGAGACACGGUCCAGACUCCUACGGGAGGCAGCAGUGGGGAAUUUUCCGCAAUGGGCGAAAGCCUGACGGAGCAAUACCGCGUGAGGGAAGACUGCCUAUGGGUUGUAAACCUCUUUUUUCAGGGAGGAAUAAAAUGACGUGUACCUGAAGAAUAAGCAUCGGCUAACUCCGUGCCAGCAGCCGCGGUAAGACGGAGGAUGCAAGUGUUAUCCGGAAUCACUGGGCGUAAAGCGUCUGUAGGUGGUUUAAUAAGUCAACUGUUAAAUCUUGAGGCUCAACUUCAAAACUGCAGUCGAAACUAUUAGACUAGAGUAUAGUAGAGGUAAAGGGAAUUUC
This 550-nucleotide ribosomal RNA is filed under the name uncultured cyanobacterium. RNAcentral describes it as "bacterial SSU rRNA". It matches the Rfam family "Bacterial small subunit ribosomal RNA", at positions 97 to 670 of the family's 1533-position model. The record is from RNAcentral. Lineage: Bacteria; Bacillati; Cyanobacteriota.